AUUGAAUGCUGGCGGCAUGCCUUACACAUGCAAGUCGAACGGCAGCACGGGAGCAAUCCUGGUGGCGAGUGGCGAACGGGUGAGUAACAUAUCGGAACGUGCCCAGUAGUGGGGGAUAACCCGGCGAAAGGCCGGACUAAUACCGCAUACGACCUACGGGUGAAAGCAGGGGAUCGCGAAGACCUUGCGCUAUCGGAGCGGCCGAUAUCCAGAUUAGCUUGUUGGUGGGGUAAAAGCCGUACCAAGGCGACGAUCUGUAGCUGGUCUGAGAGGAUGAUCAGCCACACUGGGACUGAGACACGGCCCAGACUCCUACGGGAGGCAGCAGUGGGGAAUCUUAGACAAUGGGCGCAAGCCUGAUCUAGCCAUGCCGCGUGAGCGAUGAAGGCCUUAGGGUUGUAAAGCUCUUUCGUGGGGGAAGAGUAAUGACUGUACCCCAAGAAGAAGCCCCGGCUAACUCCGUGCCAGCAG
This 471-nucleotide ribosomal RNA is filed under the name uncultured bacterium. Its description in RNAcentral is "bacterial SSU rRNA". It matches the Rfam family "Bacterial small subunit ribosomal RNA", at positions 29 to 514 of the family's 1533-position model. The record is from RNAcentral.